Molecule: ribosomal RNA, 311 nt
Filed under: uncultured eukaryote
Lineage: Eukaryota
Description: partial 18S ribosomal RNA
Rfam family: Eukaryotic small subunit ribosomal RNA
Source: RNAcentral
CCCUUAGAUGUCCUGGGCCGCACGCGUGCUACACUGAUGCAUACAGCGAGUACUCCCAGCCCCGAGAGGCUGCUGGUAAUCAGCAAUAUGCAUCGUGAUGGGGAUAGAUCUUUGGAAUUAUAGAUCUUGAACGAGGAAUUCCUAGUAAUCGCAGGUCAUCACCCUGCGUUGACUAAGUCCCUGCCCUUUGUACACACCGCCCGUCGCUCCUACCGAUUUCGAGUGAUCCGGUGAAUCAUUCGGACCGCGGCCCCUAGGCAUGCGGAAAGUCUAGUAAACCAUAUCACUUAGAGGAAGGAGAAGUCGUAACA